Jaculus jaculus (lesser Egyptian jerboa) is the source of this 163-nucleotide small nuclear RNA. Its record names the gene U1. It matches the Rfam family "U1 spliceosomal RNA". Rfam says of the family: U1 is a small nuclear RNA (snRNA) component of the spliceosome (involved in pre-mRNA splicing). Its 5' end forms complementary base pairs with the 5' splice junction, thus defining the 5' donor site of an intron. Lineage: Eukaryota; Metazoa; Chordata; Mammalia; Rodentia; Dipodidae. The record is from Ensembl.
AGGCUUACCAGGCAGGCAAGAUCCCAUGAUCAGGAAGGUGGUUUUCCAGGGCAGCGCUUAUCCAUUGCACUCCAGAUGAGCUGACCCCUAUGAGUUCCCCAAAUGUGGGAAACUUGACUGCAUAAUUUUUGGUAGUGGGGGACUGCUUUCCUGCACUCCUCAA